This is a microRNA precursor of Oryza sativa Japonica Group (Japanese rice), 205 nucleotides long. It matches the Rfam family "MIR812 microRNA precursor family". The record is from Rfam. NCBI's taxonomy places the organism in Eukaryota, Viridiplantae, Streptophyta, Magnoliopsida, Poales, Poaceae.
AAUGUUUGACACCGUUGACUUUUUAGCACAUGUUUGGCCGUUCGUCUUAUUCAAAAAAUUUAAGUAAUUAUUAAUUCUUUUCCUAUCAUUUGAUUCAUUAUUAAAUAUAUUUUUAUGUAGGCAUAUAAUUUUACAUAUUUAACAAAAGCUUUUGAAUAAGACGAACGGUCAAACAUGUGCCUAAAAAGUCACGGUGUCAAAUAUU